Molecule: long non-coding RNA, 3184 nt
Filed under: Bos indicus x Bos taurus (hybrid cattle)
Lineage: Eukaryota; Metazoa; Chordata; Mammalia; Artiodactyla; Bovidae
Description: lncRNA (ENSBIXG00005030616.1)
Source: RNAcentral
UAAACGAUGGCCCUGGUAGGAGUGUGGCAGCUGACUCAGAGGGAGCCAAGGCAAGAGGCAGCGGGGAAUGCUGCAAUUGCCCAGAAAGAGAGGAUGAGGGCUUGACCUUGGGCAGUGGUCAUGGGGACUUGCGGAGAGGCAUGAGUUGAGAAACAUUUAGGAGGGCAGGUUGUCAGGACCUAGUGACUGAUUGGCCGUGUGGGAUGAGGGAGGGGGGUGGACUCAAGGCUGGCCUUGCAGGGGCCAAGCAGUGAGGCAACCCCAGCCCCAAGGAAUUCAAGGGGUGGAGUAACUUUCAAGACUCAAGGCUGAUCUCAGGUUGAGACAACGGUGAGUCUUGGGUGCCCGGGUGUGAAGUGGUAAGGGGAUGACAGAAUCCCCAGAGGCAGCUGGAAACCUAGGGACUAAAGGUCAGGAGAGAGGCCUGAACUAGCAAUGUAGAUGUGAAAUGAUGAGCAUAUGGCGGUGGUGGGGACCACAGAAGUGGUGAGAUGGCGCAGGGAGGCUGAGCACAAGAAGAGCCAGCCCCUCCCUGGGGACCCUGACCUUUAGGGGGUGGGCGGAGGAAGAGAUGAUAGGAGGCCAGCAGAAAAAAGUGAAAUCGUGCAGGCCAAGUGAGGAAGGCGGACAUGAGCAAGGGUGGGUAAGUGCGUUGACUGCAGCGGUCUCUGGUGAGCGGUUCGUCUCUGGUGAGAGAAGAACCAAAAAAGGCCCACUGGGAAGAAUGAGGAUUGCAGAGGGCCUCGUAGGAUGGGAAAGCCCCGAGCACGUUUGGAGCAAGUCACCUAGCAUGGAUGAGAGGGACCAAAUUCCCCUGGAGUAUGACCUUUUAGAGGAAGCCUUCCCACAAAGGAUCCCAAAUAUUUGCAAUUCAAGUCAGAGCAAAAGAUUGAUUUUCCUGGUAAAUAAAGAGCUCCUACCAAUCAUUAAGGAAAAUAAACAAUCCAAUAGGAAUCCAGGCAAAGAUAUGAACGGACAGCUCACAAAAAGGGAGUACAAAGAACUCUGAGACCAAUGACGUGUGAAAAAGGCUGACUCUCACUCAUCAUGGGAGCCAUGUACAUAGAAUGGCACUGCGCCGCAACCCCAGCCUCAGACUGCUCAAGACUGCCGACGAGGGUGUGCAGCGGGCACACACUGCUGCCUCGUGGGCACAGCGUGCUGUUGUACACAGACCACAGAGAUCACCUUGACCCUGCGCUUCUGAAGGGUGACCUGGCAAUAAUUUAGCACUGCCUCUACUCAGCAAGUCAUCCCAUCUCUACACGGACAAGGCUAUUCCACACGUACCAGAUUGUUCCCUGAAGCAUUUUCAGUAUCACCAAAGAUUUGAAACAGCCCAAGUGUCCUUCACUAGAGGGUGGGCUAAAUAAUUUAUGGUGGAUUGGUACAACUGAACACUAUGCAAUCAUGAAGAAGAGGGGAGGGGAAAGGGUAGUAGGAAGUACUUUUAUGCACUGAUGUGCAUUGAGCUCCAAGAUACAUUUUUAAGUGAAAGUGCAAGGCAUUCCGUAGAAUGGAAUACAAAUGAUUCUUUUAUUUGUAUAAAGGAGAAAAAACAUGAAUAUAUGUGUACACAUAUAUAUACAAAAUACGUAAAUGUAUAUGAUGUACAAAUUCGUAUUUAAUGUACAUAUAUGUUCAUUUUAUUUAUUUUUUUUUAUUUUCUUCAUUUUAAUAUGAACAGUAGCAUAAUCUGUAUUAUGUACACACAAUAUAAGUAGCACCUUAGGUGAAUAGUUGCCGCUUUGAGUCUCAGUUUUCACAUUUAUAAAACGGGAGUUGUAAGAAAAGGGCAGGCAAAGCAAUGAUAGGAAACAGCAAUGGAAGCAGCACCUUAUAUACGUGCCUUAUAUAUUCCAAUGCACGUAUAUAUGAAAAUGGUUCUGCACGUUCACCUCUGGAAGCACGCAGACCCCGUGGCUGCUGCUGGGGAGCAGAGCCAAGAACUUGGAGGCUGGGCCCAUGGCAGGAGGGAGACUUUUCACUGUAGCACAUUGUGCCUUCCGGGUUUUGGUUGUGAAUGUAUUACCUAUUCAAAAAGUAGCUAUCGUUAACUUUCUCAAAAAGAGAGAUGCAAAGGAUAUUUUCAGCUUAGCUGAGGCGGAGGUGGGAGUGGGUCAGGUGGAGAAUGAAGGCAGGGCCUGCAAGGGCAGGUGCCUGGAGACACUGAGGCACACCGGGGGCCAGGUGACUGGCUGUGGUUGGAGCACAGUGUGGGGGAGUCUUGAUAAGAACACGCCUGGCAAGAAACAGGAUGGAUGAAGACAGAUUUAUAUAUCACGGUAAAGAGUCAGGCUUUUAUUGCAAUGAGAGGCUCUUGAGGGAUUUAAUGGGGGCCAGACAUGGGUUAUAUUUUCGGAAGAGCCUCCUGGAGGCAGGGUGGGGAGGGUUCUGGGGAGAGGACAUUCCUGAUUUCCCCUCACCUUUCUCGGCCUUUCUCAUCUUUAGUGAUGCUGACCAGUGGGUGGGGUGAACUCUGUUGUUGCACACAGGGAACUGAGGCUGAGGAAAACUGAGUCCUGAGUUCCCACUUAGAGUCAGGAUUCAAACUCAGGUUCCCAUGGCUCUGGAGUCUGAGCUCUGAUUUUGGCUCUGUGUUGUUGGGUGAGAACUGCAAAGUGGUGGUCAAGCAUCAGGUCCAAAUAUGUGGCUGAUGAAGUCAGGAUGCAAUGGCAAGAACUUAUCAUCAAGUUUCCACCAACUCGCUGGUCCCUCUCCCACCCCUCAGUCACCGUCCGAGUGACCCAAGUCCCCGGUCUUAUUCAUGGAAGAACAGCAGUGCAUUUCUUAACAACACUCAGUUUUCUUCUUCUGCAGGUAUAGUGAAGGUCAGACUUCUUACAGCUGUAACAGGACAGCCUGGACGGAGGUUCCCUCCAGAUGAGGUCUGUGGGAGAUGCAUUUGGCUCCAGUUAAGCUGAGCCUUCUACAUUUUCUGGUCAUCUGGUUUGCAUUUUCCUAUCAUUUCUUUGCCUGCAUUUUCCUUACAACUCCCAUUUUAUAAAUGUGAAAACUGAGACUCAAAGAGGCAACUAUUCACCUAAGGUCACCUGGUUUAUCAACUGGGGAAUCAGGCCUUAAACCCUUGCCUUGGGACACCAGAUUUUUUUUUUUUUUAAAUUAAUAGGGGUUUAUUUGAGUCUCAUAAUAAAAACCCAGAAGUGUCUUGUGAUUUCUUUCA